CCUACGGGAGGCAGCAGUGAGGAAUAUUGGUCAAUGGACGCAAGUCUGAACCAGCCAUGCCGCGUGCAGGAAGACGGCUCUAUGAGUUGUAAACUGCUUUUGUACGAGGGUAAACGCAGAUACGCGUAUCUGUCUGAAAGUACCGUACGAAUAAGGAUCGGCUAACUCCGUGCCAGCAGCCGCGGUAAUACGGAGGAUCCAAGCGUUAUCCGGAUUUAUUGGGUUUAAAGGGGGCGUAGGCGGUCGGAUAAGUUAGAGGUGAAAGCCCGGGGCUCAACUUCGGAAUUGCCUCUGAUACUGUUCGGCUAGAGAGUAGUUGCGGUAGGCGGAAUGUGUGGUGUAGCGGUGAAAUGCUUAGAGAUCAUGCAGAACACCGAUUGCGAAGGCAGCUUGCCAAGCUACGUCUGACGUUGAGGCACGAAAGCGUGGGGAGCAAACAGGAUUAGAUACCCCUGUAGUC
Molecule: ribosomal RNA, 460 nt
Filed under: uncultured bacterium
Lineage: Bacteria
Description: partial 16S ribosomal RNA
Rfam family: Bacterial small subunit ribosomal RNA
Source: RNAcentral